AUUGAACGCUGGCGGCAGGCUUAACACAUGCAAGUCGAGCGGGGUGAUGGUGCUUGCACUAUCACUUAGCGGCGGACGGGUGAGUAAUGCUUAGGAAUCUGCCUAUUAGUGGGGGACAACAUCUCGAAAGGGAUGCUAAUACCGCAUACGUCCUACGGGAGAAAGCAGGGGAUCACUUGUGACCUUGCGCUAAUAGAUGAGCCUAAGUCGGAUUAGCUAGUUGGUGGGGUAAAGGCCUACCAAGGCGCAGAGCUGUAGCGGGUCUGAGAGGAUGAUCCGCCACACUGGGACUGAGACACGGCCCAGACUCCUACGGGAGGCAGCAGUGGGGAAUAUUGGACAAUGGGGGGAACCCUGAUCCAGCCAUGCCGCGUGUGUGAAGAAGGCCUUAUGGUUGUAAAGCACUUUAAGCGAGGAGGAGGCUCUUUUGGUUAAUACCCAAGAUGAGUGGACGUUACUCGCAGAAUAAGCACCGGCUAACUCUGUGCCAGCCGCCGCAGUAA
This 503-nucleotide ribosomal RNA is filed under the name uncultured bacterium. RNAcentral describes it as "partial 16S ribosomal RNA". It matches the Rfam family "Bacterial small subunit ribosomal RNA", at positions 30 to 523 of the family's 1533-position model. The record is from RNAcentral.